GUGUGUCUCAUCUCCCAAAAGCCGCCUCGCCCAAGGUCAUGCCUUUCCUGGAGCUGCCUGCAUCUGGUGACUGAGUGUUGAUCCUUAAUGAAAAUCUUGCUCCUUAAACUCUGUGUUAGAAUCAGCUCCUGGUGGAUCCAACUCCAACAGCAGAGGAACAGGAAGACUUUGUGUCAUGUGUGAUAAUAUCAUGAGGUUUCUCCUCAGAUGUGAAGGAGGUGAGGGUCCCUGUAGCCUAAUAGGGAUGGACUACAAGUCCAGUGAGCGAGAGAGCAACUUUGGAGUCUUCACUGAAGGAUCUGCAGGAAUGUGAUGACGACCAGGCAGAGGGUCCAUACUGAUAGUCAUCAUCAAUGACAACUGUCUGCAUCAAUGACAUGGCAACUUCCUCUCCAGAGUCAUGGUGGCAAGACACAAAUGACUCUAUUUCAUUUGAUGGUCCCCCUAUACUGACCCAAUCAGCAGGAAGUAGUCAGAAAGACAAGGAUGACCCUGUUCCUCUUAUAGCAUAUGAUUAUGUUGGGUUACAAUUGACAGUGAGGAGUUGUCGGCGCCACUCACAUGAACAGUCAUCUUUCCUAUACAUAUUAAAGAUUUUGUUCUUGUUAUCUUUAAACGAAAUCAGGUAUAAGGCAUUGCUCUGGUCUCUGAUGCUUAUCCAGUAAAACAGAAGAUUAUCAGGAACUGAGACCAGAUGUCUGCCCCACCUGGAGACCAGCCUCUUAUAUAACUGGCUUGUAGUCUUUGUUCUGUGAGAUGGUUUUUCCAGACAUUAGUCAGCCAUCUUCCCCCUUGCUGGCAAGCUGUAAUAAAACCCUUUCUCUCCUACCACCUUGCUUCUCCACUAUUGGUGUGUCUUGAGGCUGGCAGAUGACCCACCCUGGGCAGUAACAAAUUGAAUUUCCACACCAUGACUUUUUCCAGGGACCCGAUUUUCUUGGAGGAAGAUAAAAGAGGGAUACGCUUGUGCUUUCCAUAAAACUGAAACGUACUGAAAUGUUUUAAAGUAAAUUUAAAAUUGACAUUUUAUAUUUUUACUAUCACAAUUAUUGAUUUUUGUUUUUUACUUUUUUAUUUAUUGGCCUAUUAAAAUUGAUUUCUAUUUCCUCUUUUGAGGAAGAGAAAUAUAUAGGGGAAAAAACAACAGAAGGGUACUAGAAUAUUUUGCUGGCUAUCUGAGACCU
This 1184-nucleotide long non-coding RNA is filed under the name Equus caballus (horse). RNAcentral describes it as "lncRNA (ENSECAG00000050816.1)". The record is from RNAcentral. Lineage: Eukaryota; Metazoa; Chordata; Mammalia; Perissodactyla; Equidae.